AGUAUGAAAGGAGACUGAAGUGAACAUCAUGAGAUAAGAUUCAAGGGGGAACUGAACUCAACCAGGAAGCUAGGAGGGAAAGAAGGAUAGAGGGGAGAGAAAGAGAUAAUCUAUCCGCAAAUCUAAUUUCUACUGACAAACAGCCACCAACCCACCUGAAUGACCAACAACCAUCAACCUCACCUCUCAGGUAGUGCCACCUCUGCUGAUUCAUGUUUGAUAUCCAAAUUCUACUGAACUGGACUGCUGGUGUAUCUGUGAAGUGUUUCUGAGUGGAUUGAGCUGUUGCCAUUGGCCUGUGAACUGAACUGCUGAUUUCCAGACAACACAGAUGAGAGUUGCUUCAAAGAACCCUUCCUAAACAGGUGACAGUUCAUGAAAGCUCCAUUCGUGGACGUCUACGCACAACUUGAUGGUCACUCAACAGAGCCAAGAAUCUCCUCUUGACAGUGCUGUUGAUACCAUACAGCAGCAGAGGCAGACCUGAUAGAUCUUCACUUGCUGACAUCCACUUCCUAACUUGCUGCCUCACCCUUUGACAAGCAUGAUGUCCCAGCCAGAAGAGGAUGUUCAUCUACUACCCACUUCAAAGUACUGAUGUAUGCUAAGGGUUCAAUAAACAUCUGAAAAUAUUCAUCGCUGA
This 643-nucleotide long non-coding RNA is filed under the name Mus musculus (house mouse). Its description in RNAcentral is "predicted gene 13348, transcript variant 3 (Gm13348)". The record is from RNAcentral. Lineage: Eukaryota; Metazoa; Chordata; Mammalia; Rodentia; Muridae.